This is a non-coding RNA of Chelonoidis abingdonii (Abingdon island giant tortoise), 381 nucleotides long. Lineage: Eukaryota; Metazoa; Chordata; Testudines; Testudinidae. The record is from the annotation of a RefSeq genome assembly.
CUCAUCUGGAUUCCCAUCAUGGCCUGGGCCCCUCUGCUCCUCACGCUGCUCACGUACUGCUCAGGAGCCAGCUCGCAGCCCACGCUGACCCAGCCGCCUGCAGACUCAGUUUCCCUGGGAAACACUGUGAAACUCUCCUGCACUCCGAGCGGUCAGCACAGUGACUAUGUCAUCUCCUGGUACCAACAAAGGGAUGGCCAGGUCCCGCAGUUUCUUUGGUACAAUGCUAGCACCAAAGGAGAUGGGGUCCCAGAUCGAUUCACUAUUUCCAGCUCCGGAGCCAUUCGCUAUUUAACCAUCACCAACAUCCAGCCAGAGGAUGAGGCCACGUAUUACUGUGGUGUAGGUUAUGGCAGUGGUACAGGUUAUAGCGAUGGGUAA